CUAUAGCCCACUCGUUUUUUGGCCAUUUUUCCGCUGGGGGGUCUUGGCGCCCCGACCUUCGGGGGCUAAAUUUUUGGGCGCGACUGUGCCCGCGGCAUAUUUUUGGCACACGGAGGCCGCCCGCAAAGUCUGGGGCCAUUCCGAGUCCGGCGGACGAACUUCGCCCACGCCCCCGCCAAGGCUAUAGCCCACCCGUUUUUUGGCCAUUUUUCCGCUGGGGGGUCUUGGCGCCCCGACCUUCGGGGGCUAAUUUUUGGGCGCGGCUGUGCCCGCGGCCUAUUUUUGGCACACGAGGGCCGCCCGCAAAGUCUGGGGCCAUUCCGAGUCCGGCGGACGAACUUCGCCCACGCCCCCCACCAAGGCUAUAGCCCACCCGUUUUUUGGCCAUUUUUCCGCUGGGGGGUCUUGGCACCCCGACCUUCGGGGGCUAAUAUUUGGGCGCGGCUGUGCCCGUGGCCUAUUUUUGGCACACGGAGGCCGCCCGCAAAGUCUGGGGCCAUUCCGAGUCCGGCGGACGAACUUCGCCCCGCCCCCCAACAAGGCUAAAGCCCACCCGUUUUUUGGCCAUUUUUCCGCUGGGGGGUCUUGGCACCUCCAUCUUCGGGGGCAAAUUUUUGGGCGCGGCUGUGCCCGUGGCCUAUUUUUGGAACACGAGGGCCGCCCGCAAAGUCUGGGGCCAUUCCGAGUCCGGCGGACGAACUUCGCCCACGCCCCCCACCAAGGCUAUAGCCCACCCGUUUUUUGGCCAUUUUUCCGCUGGGGGGCUUGGCGCCCCGACCUUCGGGGGCUAAUUUUUGCGCGCGGCUGUGCCCGCGGCCUAUUUUUGGCACACGGAGGCCGCCCGCAAAGUCUGGGGCCAUUCCGAGUCCGGCGGACGAACUUCGCCCACGCCCCCGCCAAGGCUAUAGCCCACCCGUUUUUUGGCCAUUUUUCCGCUGGGGGGUCUUGGCGCCCCGACCUUCGGGGGCUAAUUUUUGUGCUCGGCUGUGCCAGCGGCCUAUUUUUGGCACACGAGGGCCGCCCGCAAAGUCUGGGGCCAUUCCGAGUCCGGCGGACGAACUUCGCCCACGCCCCCCACCAAAGCUAUAGCCCACUCGUUUUUUGGCCAUUUUUCCGCUGGUGGGUCUUGGCGCCCCGACCUUCGGGGGCUAAAUUUUUGGGCGCGGCUGUGCCCGCGGCCUAUUUUUGGCACACGGAGGCCGCCCGCAAAGUCUGGGGCCAUUCCGAGUCCGACGGACGAACUUCGCCCACGCCCCCGCCAAGGCUAUAGCCCACCCGUUUUUUGGCCAUUUUUCCGCUGGGGGGUCUUGGCGCCCCGACCUUCGGGGGCUAAUUUUUGGGCGCGGCUGUGCCCGCGGCCUAUUUUUGGCACACGGAGGCCGCCCGCAAAGUCUGGGGCCAUUCCGAGUCCGGCGGACGAACUUCGCCCACGCCCCCCCCCAAGGCUAUAGCCCACCCGUUUUUUGGCCAUUUUUCCGCUGGAAGUCUUGGCACCUCCACCUUCGGGGGCUAAUUUUUGGGCGCGGCUGUGCCCGUGGCCUAUUUUUGGCACACGGAGGCCGCCCGCAAAGUCUGGGGCCAUUCCGAGUCCGGCGGACGAACUUCGCCCACGCCCCCCGCCAAGGCUAUAGCCCACCCGUUUUUUGGCCAUUUUUCCUCUGGGGGGUCUUGGCAGCCCGACCUUCGGGGGCUAAUUUUUGGGCGCGGCUGUGCCCGUGGCCUAUUUUUGGCACACGGAGGCCGCCCGCAAAGUCUGGGGCCGUUCCGAGUCCGGCGGACGAACUUCGCCCACGCCCCCCACCAAGGCUAUAGCCCACCCGUUUUUUGGCCAUUUUUCCGCUGGGGGGUCUUGGCGCCCCGACCUUCGGGGGCUAAUUUUUGGGCGCAGCUGUGCCCGUGGCCUAUUUUUGGCACACGGAGGCCGCCCGCAAAGUCUGGGGCCAUUCCGAGUCCGGCGGACGAACUUCGCCCACGCCCCCGCCAAGGCUAUAGCCCACCCGUUUUUUGGCCAUUUUUCCGCUGGGGGGUCUUGGCAGCCCGACCUUCGGGGGCUAAUUUUUGGGCACGGCUGUGCCCGUGGUCUAUUUUUGGCACACGGAGGCCGCCCGCAAAGUCUGGGGCCAUUCCGAGUCCGGCGGACGAACGUCGCCCACGCCCCCGACCAAGGCUAUAGCCCACCCGUUUUUUGGCCAUUUUUCCGCUGGGGGGUCUUGUCGCCCCGACCUUCGGGGGCUAAUUUUUGGGCGCGGCUGUGCCCGUGGCCUAUUUUUGGCACACGGAGGCCGCCCGCAAAGUCUGGGGCCAUUCCGAGUCCGGCGGACGAACUUCGCCCACGCCCCCCACCAAGGCUAUAGCCCACCCGUUUUUUGGCCAUUUUUCCGCUGGGGGUCUUGGCACUUCCACCUCCGGGGGCUAAUUUUUGGGCGCGGCUGCGCCCGUGGCCUAUUUUUAGCACACGAGGGCCACCCACAAAGUCUGGGGCCAUUCCGAGUCCGGCGGACGAACUUCGCCCACGCCCCCCACCAAGGCUAUAGCCCACCCGUUUUUUGGCCAUUUUUCCGCUGGGGGGUCUUGGCGCCCCGACCUUCGGGGGCUAAUUUUUGGGCGCGGCUGUGCCCGUGGCCUAUUUUUGGCACACGGAGGCCGCCCGCAAAGUCUGGGGCCAUUCCGAGUCCGGCGGACGAACUUCGCCCACGCCCCCCACCAAGGCUAUAGCCCACCCGUUUUUUGGCCAUUUUUCCGCUGGGGGGUCUUGGCACCCCCACCUUCGGGGGCUAAUUUUUGGGCGCGGCUGUGCCCGUGGCCUAUUUUUGGCACACGAGGGCCACCCGCAAAGUCUGGGGCCAUUCCGAGUCCGGCGGACGAACUUCGCCCACGCCCCCCACCAAGGCUAUAGCCCACCCGUUUUUUGGCCAUUUUUCCGCUGGGGGGUCUUGGCACCCCGACCUUCGGGGGCUAAUUUUUGCGCGCGGCUGUGCCCGUGGCCUAUUUUUGGCACACGGAGGCCCCCCGCAAAGUCUGGGGCCAUUCCGAGUCCGGCGGACGAACUUCGCCCACGCCCCCGCCAAGGCUAUAGCCCACCCGUUUUUUGGCCAUUUUUCCGCUGGGGGGUCUUAGCAACCCGACCUUCGGGGGCUGAUUUUUGGGCGCGGCUGUGCCCGUGGCCUAAUUUUGGCACACGGAGGCCGCCCGCAAUGUCUGGGGCCAUUCCGAGUCCGGCGGACGAACUUCGCCCACGCCCCCCACCAAGGCUAUAGCCCACCCGUUUUUUGGCCAUUUUUCCGCUGG
This 3288-nucleotide long non-coding RNA is filed under the name Citrus x clementina. Its description in RNAcentral is "Citrus clementina (C. clementina) long non-coding RNA (CCLE_LNC002206)". Lineage: Eukaryota; Viridiplantae; Streptophyta; Magnoliopsida; Sapindales; Rutaceae. The record is from RNAcentral.